GAGGAAAAGAAACCAACAGGGAUUGCCCUAGUAACGGCGAGUGAAGCGGCAACAGCUCAAAUUUGAAAGCUGGCUCCGGCCCGCAUUGUAAUUUGCAGAGGAUGCUUUUGGCGAGGUGCCUUCCGAGUUCCCUGGAACGGGACGCCAUAGAGGGUGAGAGCCCCGUAUGGAUGGACACCAGACCUGUGUAAAGCUCCUUCAACGAGUCGAGUAGUUUGGGAAUGCUGCUCUAAAUGGGAGGUAAAUCUCUUCUAAAGCUAAAUACCGGCCAGAGACCGAUAGCGCACAAGUAGAGUGAUCGAAAGAUGAAAAGCACCUUGAAAAGGGGGUUAAACAGUACGUGAAAUUGUUGAAAGGGAAGCAUUUAUGACCAGACUUGCGCCGGGCAGCUCAUCAGGGGUUCUCCCCUGUGCACUCUGCCCGGCUCAGGCCAGCAUCGGUUCUCGUGGGAGGAUAAGAACAGUGGGAACGUGGCCCCCCUCCGGGGGGGUGUUAUAGCCCAUUGUACGAUACUCUCGUGGGGACCGAGGUUCGCGCUCCGCAAGGAUGCUGGCGUAAUGGUCAUCAAUGACCCGUC
This 577-nucleotide ribosomal RNA is filed under the name Cytospora leucostoma. Its description in RNAcentral is "eukaryotic LSU rRNA". It matches the Rfam family "Eukaryotic large subunit ribosomal RNA", at positions 53 to 653 of the family's 3401-position model. The record is from RNAcentral. Lineage: Eukaryota; Fungi; Ascomycota; Sordariomycetes; Diaporthales; Cytosporaceae.